CCCUUAGAUGUUCUGGGCCGCACGCGCGCUACACUGACGAAGUCAGCGAGCAUGUCCUACGCCGACAGGUGCGGGGAAUCUUGUCAAACUUCGUCGUGAUGGGGAUUGAUUUUUGAAAUUCUUGAUCAUAAACGAGGAAUUCCUAGUAAGCGCAAGUCAGCAGCUUGCGUUGAUUACGUCCCUGCCCUUUGUAUACACCGCCCGUCGCUACUACCGAUUGAAUGGUUUAGUGAGAUCUUCGGAUUGGCGCCACUGCAGCUCAGCAAUGGGCUUGGUGGAUGCCGAAAAGUUGAUCAAACUUGAUCAUUUAGAGGAAGUAAAAGUCGUAACA
Molecule: ribosomal RNA, 331 nt
Filed under: uncultured eukaryote
Lineage: Eukaryota
Description: partial 18S ribosomal RNA
Rfam family: Eukaryotic small subunit ribosomal RNA
Source: RNAcentral